AUCCAAAGUCACAUGAUAACCAAGCAGAAGAGACCCAUAUUUCUUGCACUGGAAAAAAAGCAAAACCACCUCCAACCCUGUUUGUCGAAUGCCCAAACUGUACAAGUUGCACAGACCAGGAGAAGUUACGUGUCAUGGGAGGAGAGGACAGAUGCUCGGGGAGAGUGGAGGUUUGGUACCGUGGGUCCUGGGGAACGGUUUGUGAUGAUUCCUGGGACAUGGCGGAUGCUAAUGUUGUGUGUAAACAACUGGGCUCUGGCUCUGCUGUAUCUGCCCCUGGUGAGGCUGCAUUUGGCGAGGGGACUGGUCCCAUCUGGGUGGAGACAUUGAAUUGCAGAGGGACAGAGUCAUCUCUCUGGGACUGUCCUGCCAAGCCCUGGGGUGAGAGUAACUGUGGUCAUAAGGAAGAUGCUGCCAUGAACUGCUCAGGUGAGUGACAGGAGAUGUUUCUGCUACAUGCUCUAAUUUUUGAGGAAGGAGAAUGGAUCUGCUCCCCGCACCCCCUUUGGUCCCAG
This is a long non-coding RNA of Dermochelys coriacea (leatherback sea turtle), 515 nucleotides long. RefSeq lists it as uncharacterized. The record is from RefSeq and is a predicted model, not a curated record. The transcript has 3 exons. Lineage: Eukaryota; Metazoa; Chordata; Testudines; Dermochelyidae.